Molecule: long non-coding RNA, 372 nt
Filed under: Arachis ipaensis
Lineage: Eukaryota; Viridiplantae; Streptophyta; Magnoliopsida; Fabales; Fabaceae
Description: long non-coding RNA (AIPA_LNC000596)
Source: RNAcentral
AAUGAUGUAGCUAUCAUGAAAGUAUCUUAAACAAUUGCAAAACAAUUGCAAAGUUUGAACAAUUACAUAAAUUGAAUUUUCCAAAUAACAAAACAAAUUAACAAACAACUAUAACAAGAACAAAUUCACAAUAAGUUAUAUACCUGAACUCAUGAGGAAGAGGUUGAUGAAGUUAGUGUCUUGGACAGCAAAAGUUGGCCCAGAAGAACAAAAUCAUUUUAGAGAAAAGAUGAUGUGCACUGGUGGGCUCAUCGACGAUGAAAAGAAUUUGAUCGCUGGAGAAAAAAAAAGUUAGUAUCAUGAUGAUAAUAUGAUUCAAGUUGGCUGACGAAAGACCAGGUUGAGUAGAAGGGAAAGGUACUGAUAAUAUAA